This 530-nucleotide long non-coding RNA is filed under the name Sus scrofa (pig). RNAcentral's name for it is "lncRNA (ENSSSCG00015010558.1)". Lineage: Eukaryota; Metazoa; Chordata; Mammalia; Artiodactyla; Suidae. The record is from RNAcentral.
GCGGCCGCCCGGAGGCCAGCCGAGCGGCCAGGAGGGGGCCCCGGGCCAGCCCGGGCGGGGAGCCGUCAGCGGAGAGCAAGGCCAGGAGGAAGCGGUCGCCCUCCCUCCCCUGGAGCAUCCAGCCGGUGACAGAGAAGCUUCCGGUGCCCUCCGUGGAGUCUGUGGCUGGGGACCAGCUGCCCCCCGUACCACUUCUGUCGUCAAAGUCAUCGGGAAAAAGCUUCCUCCCUGCUGUGCCUGCGGCCUCGAAGAUAAGACCCAGCCUCAGUUUUCACGCAGGUACACAACCCAAAAAGGAGAUCUGAGUGUUGGGUUUUUUCUCUCUCUUCAGACUGCCCCUCCUCUCAAAUAUACAUCUUGAGAAAGCACGCCAGUCUAGGCCGUUAUCCGUGCUCCAAACCUGGGCGUGAGUGAGUUUCUGGUUUUCUUAGGCAAUGAAUCAGCCAGAGCCCCUGGUUCUGUGCAAAGUACUUGCAGGUGUGCUCAGUUCUGCUUCUGCUUGACCCGCCAAUGGAGCUGAAAAUAGCGAC